Molecule: ribosomal RNA, 468 nt
Filed under: uncultured bacterium
Lineage: Bacteria
Description: partial 16S ribosomal RNA
Rfam family: Bacterial small subunit ribosomal RNA
Source: RNAcentral
GACGAACGCUGGCGGCGUGCUUAACACAUGCAAGUCGAACGGAAAGGCCCUGCUUUUGUGGGGUGCUCGAGUGGCGAACGGGUGAGUAACACGUGAGUAACCUGCCCUUGACUUUGGGAUAACUUCAGGAAACUGGGGCUAAUACCGGAUAGGAGCUCCUGCUGCAUGGUGGGGGUUGGAAAGUUUCGGCGGUUGGGGAUGGACUCGCGGCUUAUCAGCUUGUUGGUGGGGUAGUGGCUUACCAAGGCUUUGACGGGUAGCCGGCCUGAGAGGGUGACCGGCCAGAUUGGGACUGAGAUACGGCCCAGACUCCUACGGGAGGCAGCAGUGGGAAAUAUUCCACAAUGGGCCGAAGCCUGAUGCAGCAACGCCGCGUGCGGGAUGACGGCCUUCGGGUUGUAAACCGCUUUCGCCUGAGACGAAGCGUGAGUGACGGUAAUGGGUAAAGAAGCACCGGCUAACUACGUG